ACUCUCUUGUUUCUCUUCAGAUCAUAGAAAUCUUUCCCCUCUUACUAAAGGUUUCUGUGGUGAGGAGUGGCUCUUGUCUGAAUCCCAUUUUUUUUCAGCCCUUUGUGAUAGCAGGGCU
This 118-nucleotide small nuclear RNA is filed under the name Neotoma lepida (desert woodrat). Its description in RNAcentral is "U5 spliceosomal RNA". It matches the Rfam family "U5 spliceosomal RNA". From Rfam's summary of the family: U5 RNA is a component of both types of known spliceosome. The precise function of this molecule is unknown, though it is known that the 5' loop is required for splice site selection and p220 binding, and that both the 3' stem-loop and the Sm site are important for Sm protein binding and cap methylation. The record is from Rfam by way of RNAcentral. Lineage: Eukaryota; Metazoa; Chordata; Mammalia; Rodentia; Cricetidae.